GCCCCGGUGGUGUAGCCCGGUCAAUCAUGUGGGACUCUCGAUCCCGCGACCCGGGUUCAAAUCCCGGCCGGGGCA
This 75-nucleotide transfer RNA is filed under the name Thermococcus barophilus. RNAcentral describes it as "tRNA-Glu". It matches the Rfam family "tRNA". From Rfam's summary of the family: Transfer RNA (tRNA) molecules are approximately 80 nucleotides in length. Their secondary structure includes four short double-helical elements and three loops (D, anti-codon, and T loops). The record is from RNAcentral. Lineage: Archaea; Methanobacteriati; Methanobacteriota; Thermococci; Thermococcales; Thermococcaceae.